AGGAGGUUGGCUCAGCUGGUCAGAGCAGGGUGCUGAUAACACUAGGAUUGUGGGUUUAAUCCCCAUAUGGGCAA
Molecule: non-coding RNA, 74 nt
Organism: Lamprotornis superbus
Lineage: Eukaryota; Metazoa; Chordata; Aves; Passeriformes; Sturnidae
Source: the annotation of a GenBank genome assembly